This 507-nucleotide ribosomal RNA is filed under the name uncultured bacterium. RNAcentral's name for it is "bacterial SSU rRNA". It matches the Rfam family "Bacterial small subunit ribosomal RNA", at positions 45 to 542 of the family's 1533-position model. The record is from RNAcentral.
GCGGCUACACAUGCAAGUCGAACGGUAACAGGAAGCAGCUUGCUGCUUCGCUGACGAGUGGCGGACGGGUGAGUAAUGUCUGGGAAACUGCCUGAUGGAGGGGGAUAACUACUGGAAACGGUAGCUAAUACCGCAUAACGUCGCAAGACCAAAGAGGGGGACCUUCGGGCCUCUUGCCAUCGGAUGUGCCCAGAUGGGAUUAGCUAGUAGGUGGGGUAACGGCUCACCUAGGCGACGAUCCCUAGCUGGUCUGAGAGGAUGACCAGCCACACUGGAACUGAGACACGGUCCAGACUCCUACGGGAGGCAGCAGUGGGGAAUAUUGCACAAUGGGCGCAAGCCUGAUGCAGCCAUGCCGCGUGUAUGAAGAAGGCCUUCGGGUUGUAAAGUACUUUCAGCGGGGAGGAAGGCGAUAAGGUUAAUAACCUUGUCGAUUGACGUUACCCGCAGAAGAAGCACCGGCUAACUCCGUGUCAGCAGCCGCGGUAUACGGAAGGUGCAAGCGUU